AUCUCGUGGUGAGGGCAUAUAAAGAGUGACUCAUUGAGUCUUUCACAUGCCUUAUAUAAGGAUUCAUCAUCCAAUUUUUGAAUAGUGGUGAUCUCAUUCCGCAACU
Molecule: non-coding RNA, 106 nt
Organism: Gossypium raimondii (Peruvian cotton)
Lineage: Eukaryota; Viridiplantae; Streptophyta; Magnoliopsida; Malvales; Malvaceae
Source: Rfam